GAAUGGUCUGACGAGAAAAUAACUUUCUAAAAAGAAAAGAUAAAAAUUUAUUUUAAAGUAAAAAAGCUUUAUAACUUUAGAAAGACGAGAAGACCCUAGAACCUAUUCUAUCUAUAUAGUUUGUUGGGGUGACAUUAUUCAAAACAAAUAACUAUUAAAACUUAUUAACUGACUCUGUCUAUCUUUAUUAAAAAAAAAAAAGGUACUCUAGGGAUAACAGC
RNAcentral lists this ribosomal RNA (221 nucleotides) under Armadillo officinalis (oak-woodland pillbug). RNAcentral describes it as "partial large subunit ribosomal RNA". Lineage: Eukaryota; Metazoa; Arthropoda; Malacostraca; Isopoda; Armadillidae. The record is from RNAcentral.